CGGAUAGGGAAUUUUGUGUUUCGAAGAGGAGGAAGAUCUGUAGGUCUAUGAGGUCGCAUUUGGCAUCUGGGGUUUGGAAUUUAAGCAGGGAACAAGGAAAUAAGCUGCUACGGAGCCGAUUUCGAGGUGAUUCUCUUUACAUUUGUGAUUGGCCUGGAUGUGUUCACAUUGAAGAGAAGCGGAAUUACAUGCUUUUCAGAGGGAUUUUCAAGAACUUCAAAGGAUCUCAUGUUUGGAGAACGAUAAAAGAUGGGAAUAGGAACAAAAUUGAUCUGAAUUGUGCGUUUUGCUCUUGUAAAGAG
RNAcentral lists this unclassified non-coding RNA (302 nucleotides) under Hevea brasiliensis (rubber tree). Lineage: Eukaryota; Viridiplantae; Streptophyta; Magnoliopsida; Malpighiales; Euphorbiaceae. The record is from RNAcentral.